RNAcentral lists this transfer RNA (67 nucleotides) under Microtermes sp. E16. RNAcentral's name for it is "tRNA-Ala". Lineage: Eukaryota; Metazoa; Arthropoda; Insecta; Blattodea; Termitidae. The record is from RNAcentral.
GGGACUAUAGUUAAUAAUAACAUUUGAGUUGCAUUCAAAAAGUACUACCAACCAGUAGUUAGCCUCA